AACGAACGCUGGCGGCAUGCCUAACACAUGCAAGUCGAACGAGACCUUCGGGUCUAGUGGCGCACGGGAGCGUAACGCGUGGGAACCUGCCCUUAGGUUCGGAAUAACUCCCCGAAAGGGGUGCUAAUACCGGAUAAUGUCUUCGGACCAACGAUUUAUCGCCUUUGGAUGGGCCCGCGUUGGAUUAGCUAGUUGGUAGGGUAAAAGCCUACCAAGGCGACGAUCCAUAGCUGGUCUGAGAGGAUGAUCAGCCACACUGGGACUGAGACCCGGCCCAGACUCCUACGGGAGGCAGCAGUGGGGAAUAUUGGACGAUGGGCGAAAGCCUGAUCCAGCAAUGCCGCGUGAGUGAUGAAGGCCUUAGGGUUGUAAAGCUCUUUUACCCGGGAUGAUAAUGACAGUACCGGGAGAAUAAGCUCCGGCUAACUCCGUG
Molecule: ribosomal RNA, 433 nt
Filed under: uncultured bacterium
Lineage: Bacteria
Description: partial 16S ribosomal RNA
Rfam family: Bacterial small subunit ribosomal RNA
Source: RNAcentral